Molecule: unclassified non-coding RNA, 197 nt
Filed under: uncultured fungus
Lineage: Eukaryota; Fungi
Description: sequence contains ITS1, 5.8S rRNA gene
Source: RNAcentral
AUGAAUGAACUUGGGCAAAGUUGUCGCUGGCCUCAGCAAUGGGGCAUGUGCACGCUUUGUUCAUCCACCCUUCACACCACUGUGCACUUCUCAUGGGUCGGGUUGCGUCUGAAAUAUGGCAAAGCCCUUCUCAUGUGUUUUAACCACACACUAUACAAGUUUUAGAAUGUAACAAUCAUGCAUCAAUGCAUAUAAUA